Molecule: ribosomal RNA, 493 nt
Filed under: Dendrobaena loebli
Lineage: Eukaryota; Metazoa; Annelida; Clitellata; Crassiclitellata; Lumbricidae
Description: Dendrobaena sp. 6 TS-2015 partial 16S ribosomal RNA
Rfam family: Bacterial large subunit ribosomal RNA
Source: RNAcentral
CAAAAACAUUGCUUCUUGACUUAGUAUAAGAAGUAAUUCCUGCCCAGUGAUUCAACGGCCGCGGUAUCCUAACCGUGCAAAGGUAGCAUAAUCACUUGCCCAUUAAUUGUGGGCUAGAAUGAAAGGACUAACGAAAUAAAAACUGUCUCUAUAAGUUUAAUAAAAAUUAAUCUCUAACUGAAGACUGUUAGAUAACGUUGAAGGACAAGAAGACCCUAUAGAGCUUUAUUUUGAUAAGUAAUAAUAACUUAUAAAGAAUUCGGUUGGGGCGACCAGGGAAAAAUUCAUCAUCCCUUAAAAAAAGAUAAAUAAAUCACUUUAUUGACCCUAAAAUGAUCAUUAAAACAAGCUACCUUAGGGAUAACAGGCUAAUCCCAUUAAAGAGUCCUUAUCAAUAGUGGGGAUUGGCACCUCGAUGUUGGCUUAGGGAAUCUAUGUGGCGCAAAAGUCAUAUAAAGAUGGUUUGUUCAACCAAUAAUACCCUACAUGAUCU